AGUGAACGCUGGCGGUAGGCCUAACACAUGCAAGUUGAACGGCAGCACAGUAAGAGCUUGCUCUUACGGGUGGCGAGUGGCGGACGGGUGAGGAAUACAUCGGAAUCUACUUUUUCGUGGGGGAUAACGUAGGGAAACUUACGCUAAUACCGCAUACGACCUACGGGUGAAAGCAGGGGAUCUUCGGACCUUGCGCGAUUGAAUGAGCCGAUGUCGGAUUAGCUAGUUGGCGGGGUAAAGGCCCACCAAGGCGACGAUCCGUAGCUGGUCUGAGAGGAUGAUCAGCCACACUGGAACUGAGACACGGUCCAGACUCCUACGGGAGGCAGCAGUGGGGAAUAUUGGACAAUGGGCGCAAGCCUGAUCCAGCCAUACCGCGUGGGUGAAGAAGGCCUUCGGGUUGUAAAGCCCUUUUGUUAGGAAAGAAAAGCAGCAGGUUAAUACCCCGCUGUUCUGACGGUACCCAAAGAAUAAGCACCGGCUAACUUCGUG
This 492-nucleotide ribosomal RNA is filed under the name uncultured bacterium. RNAcentral describes it as "partial 16S ribosomal RNA". It matches the Rfam family "Bacterial small subunit ribosomal RNA", at positions 29 to 507 of the family's 1533-position model. The record is from RNAcentral.